This 850-nucleotide ribosomal RNA is filed under the name uncultured bacterium. Its description in RNAcentral is "SSU rRNA". It matches the Rfam family "Bacterial small subunit ribosomal RNA", at positions 524 to 1381 of the family's 1533-position model. The record is from RNAcentral.
UACGAGGGCCCCAAGCGUUAUCCGGAUUUAUUGGGCGUAAAGCGUCCGUCGGUGGUUUAUCGCAUCUCCUGUUAAAUCUCGAGGCCCAACCUCGAGUCAGCGGGAGAGAUGGAUAAACUAGAGGCCGGAAGAGGCAAACGGAAUUGCUGGUGUAGGGGUUAAAUCCAUUAAUAUCAGCAGGAACACCAAAUGCGUAGGCAGUUUGCUGGAACGGUUCUGACACUCAGAGGACGAAAGCGUGGGGAGCGAAUGGGAUUAGAUACCCCAGUAGUCCACGCCGUAAACGAUGGAUACUAAGCAUUGGAAGUAUCGACCCUUUCAGUGUUGUUAAUUUAAGGUAACCCGUUAAGUAUCCCGCCUGGGGAGUACGAGCGCAAGCUUAAAACUCAAAGGAAUAGACGGGGACCCGCACAAGCGGUGGAUCAUGUGGUUUAAUUCGACAAUAAGCGUAGAACCUCACCAAGGCUUGACAUCUAGCUGCAAGUCCUAGAAAUAGGAUCGCCUUCGAGGGUGCUAGACAGAUGCUGCAUGGUUGUCGUCAGCUCGUGUCGUGAGAUGUACCGUUCAGUCGGGAAACGAGCGCAACCCUUAUCCUAUGUUUUAUAUGUCAUAGGAGACUGCCCGUUUUAAAUGGGAGGAAGGCGGGAUGACGUCAAAUCAGCAUGGUUCUUAUGCCUUGGGCAACACACGUGAUACAAUGGGAAGUACAAAGGGAAGCCAAACCGUAAGGUGGAGCCAAUCCCUAAAAACUUCUCUCAGUUCGGAUUGAGGUCUGAAAUUCGACCUCAUGAAGUUGGAAUCGCUAGUAAUCGUGGAUCAGCUAUGCCACGGUGAAUACGUUCUCGGGUCU